Molecule: transfer RNA, 84 nt
Filed under: Spirochaetia bacterium
Lineage: Bacteria; Pseudomonadati; Spirochaetota; Spirochaetia
Description: tRNA-Leu
Source: RNAcentral
GCCGCGGUGGAGCAAUAGGUAGACUCUCGACAUUCAAAAUGUCGCGCUUGUAAGAGUAUGGGGAUUCGAAUUCCCCUCGCGGCA